This 466-nucleotide ribosomal RNA is filed under the name uncultured bacterium. RNAcentral describes it as "bacterial SSU rRNA". It matches the Rfam family "Bacterial small subunit ribosomal RNA", at positions 28 to 479 of the family's 1533-position model. The record is from RNAcentral.
AGCGAACGUUAGCGGCGCGCCUAACACAUGCAAGUCGCACGAGAAAGGGAGCAAUCCCUGGUACAGUGGCGCACGGGUGAGUAACACGUAGAUGACCUUCCCUGGAGUGGUGGAUAACCUGCCGAAAGGCGGGCUAAUACAGCAUGGGACCACAUGGUUUUGACCGAGUGGUGAAAGCGGGCCUCUGUUCACAAGCUCGCGCUCUGGGAUGGGUCUGCGUCCCAUCAGCUAGUUGGUGAGGUAAUGGCUCACCAAGGCAUCGACGGGUAGCUGGUCUGAGAGGAUGACCGGCCACACUGGAACUGAGACACGGUCCAGACUCCUACGGGAGGCAGCAGUGGGGAAUCUUGCGCAAUGGGCGAAAGCCUGACGCAGCGACGCCGCGUGGGUGAUGAAGGCCUCGGUUGUAAGCCUCGUGGGNGGACGAACGUACGGGGCGGAACGACCUCCGUACCUCGACGGUACC